GGACGAACGCUGGCGGCGUGCCUAAUACAUGCAAGUCGAACGAGUCCUCCCAAUUUGAUUUUAUGCUUGCAUAAAUGAUUUUUGGAUUCGGGACGAGUGGCGAACUGGUGAGUAACACGUGGGUAACCUGCCCUAAAGCAGGGGAUAACAUUUGGAAACAGAUGCUAAUACCGUAUAAUUAGUUGGAACCACAUGGUUCCAACUUGAAAGAUGGCUCUGCUAUCACUUUAGGAUGGACCCGCGGCGUAUUAGCUAGUUGGUGAGAUAAAAGCUCACCAAGGCGAUGAUACGUAGCCGACCUGAGAGGGUAAUCGGCCACAUUGGGACUGAGACACGGCCCAGACUCCUACGGGAGGCAGCAGUAGGGAAUCUUCCACAAUGGACGAAAGUCUGAUGGAGCAACGCCGCGUGAGUGAAGAAGGGUUUCGGCUCGUAAAACUCUGUUGUUAAAGAAGAACAAGUGUAAGAGUAACUGUUUACGCUUUGACGGUAUUUAACCAGAAAGCCACGGCUAACUACGUGCCAGCAGCCGCGGUAAUACGUAGGUGGCAAGCGUUGUCCGGAUUUAUUGGGCGUAAAGCGAGCGCAGGUGGUCUUUUAAGUCUGUUGUGAAAGCCCUCAGCUCAACUGAGGAAGUGCAGCGGAAACUAGGAGACUUGAGUACAGAAGAGGAUAGUGGAACUCCAUGUGUAGCGGUGAAAUGCGUAGAUAUAUGGAAGAACACCAGUGGCGAAGGCGGCUAUCUGGUCUGUUACUGACACUGAGGCUCGAAAGCAUGGGUAGCGAACAGGAUUAGAUACCCUGGUAGUCCAUGCCGUAAACGAUGAAUACUAGGUGUUGGAGGGUUCCGCCCUUCAGUGCCGCAGCUAACGCAUUAAGUAUUCCGCCUGGGGAGUACGACCGCAAGGUUGAAACUCAAAGGAAUUGACGGGGGCCCGCACAAGUGGUGGAGCAUGUGGUUUAAUUCGAUGCUACGCGAAGAACCUUACCAGGUCUUGACAUCUUCUGCCAACCUAAGAGAUUAGGCGUUCCCUUCGGGGACAGAAUGACAGGUGGUGCAUGGUUGUCGUCAGCUCGUGUCGUGAGAUGUUGGGUUAAGUCCCGCAACGAGCGCAACCCUUAUUAUUAGUUGCCAGCAUUAAGUUGGGCACUCUAGUGAGACUGCCGGUGAUAAACCGGAGGAAGGUGGGGAUGACGUCAAAUCAUCAUGCCCCUUAUGACCUGGGCUACACACGUGCUACAAUGGAUGGUACAACGAGUCGCGAAACCGCGAGGUCAAGCUAAUCUCUUAAAGCCAUUCUCAGUUCGGAUUGCAGGCUGCAACUCGCCUGCAUGAAGUUGGAAUCACUAGUAAUCGUGGAUCAGCAUGCCACGGUGAAUACGUUCCCGGGCCUUGUACACACCGC
Molecule: ribosomal RNA, 1406 nt
Filed under: uncultured Bacilli bacterium
Lineage: Bacteria; Bacillati; Bacillota; Bacilli
Description: bacterial SSU rRNA
Rfam family: Bacterial small subunit ribosomal RNA
Source: RNAcentral